AGCGAACGCUGGCGGCAGGCCUAACACAUGCAAGUCGAACGAACCUUUCGGGGUUAGUGGCGGACGGGUGAGUAACACGUGGGAACGUGCCUUUAGGUUCGGAAUAACUCAGGGAAACUUGUGCUAAUACCGAAUGUGCCCUUCGGGGGAAAGAUUUAUCGCCUUUAGAGCGGCCCGCGUCUGAUUAGCUAGUUGGUUGAGGUAAUGGCUCACCAAGGCGACGAUCAGUAGCUGGUCUGAGAGGAUGAUCAGCCACAUUGGGACUGAGACACGGCCCAAACUCCUACGGGAGGCAGCAGUGGGGAAUCUUGCGCAAUGGGCGAAAGCCUGACGCAGCCAUGCCGCGUGAAUGAUGAAGGUCUUAGGAUUGUAAAAUUCUUUCAGCGGGGACGAUAAUGACGGUACCCGGAGAAGAAGCCCCGGCUAACUUCGUG
RNAcentral lists this ribosomal RNA (434 nucleotides) under uncultured bacterium. RNAcentral's name for it is "partial 16S ribosomal RNA". It matches the Rfam family "Bacterial small subunit ribosomal RNA", at positions 29 to 507 of the family's 1533-position model. The record is from RNAcentral.